GCCAAUGUAGCUCAGAUGGUCAGAGCACGUCAUUGGUAAUGACGAGAUACCGGUUCAAUUCCGGUCAUUGGCU
RNAcentral lists this transfer RNA (73 nucleotides) under Candidatus Parcubacteria bacterium. RNAcentral describes it as "tRNA-Thr". It matches the Rfam family "tRNA". Rfam says of the family: Transfer RNA (tRNA) molecules are approximately 80 nucleotides in length. Their secondary structure includes four short double-helical elements and three loops (D, anti-codon, and T loops). The record is from RNAcentral. Lineage: Bacteria; Candidatus Parcubacteria.